This 327-nucleotide long non-coding RNA is filed under the name Cercocebus atys (sooty mangabey). Its description in RNAcentral is "lncRNA (ENSCATG00000045569.1)". Lineage: Eukaryota; Metazoa; Chordata; Mammalia; Primates; Cercopithecidae. The record is from RNAcentral.
UUGCUGGCUUCGAGGAUGAUUGACUCUGUUGUGUGGGUGAGGUCUACAGAUAGAAGCCGGCUCUGCUCUCUCCAUUGAAAUGAAAACUAUACAGAUGAACUGGAGAGACAAUGGAGUACGGUCCUGUGGCUGAGUCCUGCUGAAACCUGGUGGUGACACACAGAAGCAGGGUGACUAUUCAAGAAAUACUGUUAAAUCGCAAACUACUCAGAUGCAAACACAAGAGUGAAUGCUGGAACUGGCUUAUGAAACGCAAGCCAGCUGGCUGCCCUAGAAAAAUCUGAGGAAAAAGGUUUCUUCAUCUAAUUCGUAAAUGGGAAAUUGAAU